CUAUUACGCUGGCGGAUGCUUACCACUGCAGUCGAACGGUACGCGGGCUUCGGCCUGGCGACGAGUGGCGGACGGGUGAGUAAUGCAUCGGAACGUAUCCUUUUGUCGGGGGAUAGCCCGGCGAAAGCCGGAUUAAUACCGCAUUAAGCUCUGAGUGAGGAAAGUGGGGGACCUUCGGGCCUCACGCUGAAGGAGCGGCCGAUGUCAGAUUAGCUAGUUGGUGGGGUAAAGGCCUACCAAGGCGACGAUCUGUAGCUGGUCUGAGAGGAUGAUCAGCCACACUGGAACUGAGACACGGUCCAGACUCCUACGGGAGGCAGCAGUGGGGAAUUUUGGACAAUGGGGGCAACCCUGAUCCAGCCAUGCCGCGUGCGGGAAGAAGGCCCUCGGGUUGUAAACCGCUUUCAGAUGGAAAGAAAUGGUGUAGGUUAAUAACCUGCAUUGAUGACGGUACCAUCAGAAGAAGCACCGGCUAACUACGUGCCAGCAGCCGCGGUAAUACGUAGGGUGCGAGCGUUAAUCGGAAUUACUGGGCGUAAAGCGUGCGCAGGCGGUUCUUUAAGACAGGUGUGAAAUCCCCGGGCUUAACCUGGGAAUUGCGCUUGUGACUGGAGGGCUAGAGUGUGGCAGAGGGGAAUGGAAUUCCUGGUGUAGCAGUGAAAUGCGUAGAUAUCAGGAGGAACACCGAUGGCGAAGGCAGUUCCCUGGGCCAACACUGACGCUCAUGCACGAAAGCGUGGGGAGCAAACAGG
This 752-nucleotide ribosomal RNA is filed under the name uncultured beta proteobacterium. RNAcentral describes it as "bacterial SSU rRNA". It matches the Rfam family "Bacterial small subunit ribosomal RNA", at positions 28 to 776 of the family's 1533-position model. The record is from RNAcentral. Lineage: Bacteria; Pseudomonadati; Pseudomonadota; Betaproteobacteria.